AUUGAACGCUGGCGGCAGGCCUAACACAUGCAAGUCGAACGGUAACAGGAAGAAGCUUGCUUCUUUGCUGACGAGUGGCGGGCGGGUGAGUAAUGUCUGGGAAACUUCCUGAUGGAGGGGGAUAACUACUGGAAACGGUAGCUAAUACCGCAUAACGUCGCAAGACCAAAGAGGGGGACAUUCGGGCCUCUUGCCAUCGGAUGUGCCCAGAUGGGAUUAGCUAGUAGGUGGGGUAACGGCUCACCUAGGCGACGAUCCCUAGCUGGUCUGAGAGGAUGACCAGCCACACUGGAACUGAGACACGGUCCAGACUCCUACGGGAGGCAGCAGUGGGGAAUAUUGCACAAUGGGCGCAAGCCUGAUGCAGCCAUGCCGCGUGUAUGAAGAAGGCCUUCGGGUUGUAAAGUACUUUCAGCGGGGAGGAAGGGAGUAAAGUUAAUACCUUUGCUCAUUGACGUUACCCGCAGAAGAAGCACCGGCUAACUCCGUG
Molecule: ribosomal RNA, 490 nt
Filed under: uncultured bacterium
Lineage: Bacteria
Description: partial 16S ribosomal RNA
Rfam family: Bacterial small subunit ribosomal RNA
Source: RNAcentral